CAGCCGCCACGGGAAUACGAAGGGGGCUAGCGUUGCUCGGAAUGACUGGGCGUAAAGGGCGCGUAGGCGGAUUGUUUAGUUAGGCGUGAAAUUCCUGGGCUUAACCUGGGGACUGCGCUUAAUACAGGCAGUCUAGAGUGAGGAAGAGGGUUGUGGAAUUCCCAGUGUAGAGGUGAAAUUCGUAGAUAUUGGGAAGAACACCGGUGGCGAAGGCGGCAACCUGGUCCUUGACUGACGCUGAGGCGCGAAAGCGUGGGGAGCAAACAGGAUUAGAUACCCCUGUAGUCCCUGUCUCUUAUAC
Molecule: ribosomal RNA, 301 nt
Filed under: uncultured bacterium
Lineage: Bacteria
Description: partial 16S ribosomal RNA
Rfam family: Bacterial small subunit ribosomal RNA
Source: RNAcentral